GGUUUUCGGAUCGUAAAACUCUGUUGUUAGGGAAGAACAAGUACCGUUCGAAUAGGGCGGUACCUUGACGGUACCUAACCAGAAAGCCACGGCUAACUACGUGCCAGCAGCCGCGGUAAUACGUAGGUGGCAAGCGUUGUCCGGAAUUAUUGGGCGUAAAGCGCGCGCAGGCGGUCUUUUAAGUCUGAUGUGAAAGCCCCCGGCUCAACCGGGGAGGGUCAUUGGAAACUGGGAGACUUGAGUGCAGAAGAGGAGAGUGGAAUUCCACGUGUAGCGGUGAAAUGCGUAGAGAUGUGGAGGAACACCAGUGGCGAAGGCGACUCUCUGGUCUGUAACUGACGCUGAGGCGCGAAAGCGUGGGGAGCGAACAGGAUUAGAUACCCUGGUAGUCCACGCCGUAAACGAUGAGUGCUAAGUGUUAGAGGGUUUCCGCCCUUUAGUGCUGCAGCAAACGCAUUAAGCACUCCGCCUGGGGAGUACGGCCGCAAGGCUGAAACUCAAAGGAAUUGACGGGGGCCCGCACAAGCGGUGGAGCAUGUGGUUUAAUUCGAAGCAACGCGAAGAACCUUACCAGGUCUUGACAUCCUCUGACAAUCCUAGAGAUAGGACGUUCCCCUUCAGGGGACAGAGUGACAGGUGGUGCAUGGUUGUC
This 652-nucleotide ribosomal RNA is filed under the name Bacillus subtilis. RNAcentral's name for it is "bacterial SSU rRNA". It matches the Rfam family "Bacterial small subunit ribosomal RNA", at positions 413 to 1053 of the family's 1533-position model. The record is from RNAcentral. Lineage: Bacteria; Bacillati; Bacillota; Bacilli; Caryophanales; Bacillaceae.